Acanthosepion pharaonis is the source of this 110-nucleotide non-coding RNA. The record is from the annotation of a GenBank genome assembly. Lineage: Eukaryota; Metazoa; Mollusca; Cephalopoda; Sepiida; Sepiidae.
GGCCACAUCACGUUGAAACAAUGGUUUCCAUACGAUCACCGAAGUUAAGCAACGUCGACCUUGGUCAGUACCUAGAUUGGUGACCUCUUAAGAAUACCAAGAGCUGUAAG